UACGUAGGGGGCUAGCGUUAUCCGGAAUUACUGGGCGUAAAGGGUGCGUAGGCGGUCUUUCAAGUCAGAAGUGAAAGGCUACGGCUCAACCGUAGUAAGCUUUUGAAACUGUAAGACUUGAGUGCAGGAGAGGAGAGUAGAAUUCCUAGUGUAGCGGUGAAAUGCGUAGAUAUUAGGAGGAAUACCAGUUGCGAAGGCGGCUCUCUGGACUGUAACUGACGCUGAGGCACGAAAGCGUGGGGAGCAAACAGG
This 252-nucleotide ribosomal RNA is filed under the name uncultured bacterium. RNAcentral's name for it is "partial 16S ribosomal RNA". It matches the Rfam family "Bacterial small subunit ribosomal RNA", at positions 524 to 776 of the family's 1533-position model. The record is from RNAcentral.